RNAcentral lists this ribosomal RNA (428 nucleotides) under uncultured bacterium. Its description in RNAcentral is "bacterial SSU rRNA". It matches the Rfam family "Bacterial small subunit ribosomal RNA", at positions 355 to 775 of the family's 1533-position model. The record is from RNAcentral.
UAGGGAAUCUUCGGCAAUGGGGGCAACCCUGACCGAGCAACGCCGCGUGAGUGAAGAAGGUUUUCGGAUCGUAAAGCUCUGUUGUAAGAGAAGAACGUGUGUGAGAGUGGAAAGUUCACACAGUGACGGUAACUUAUCAGAAAGGGACGGCUAACUACGUGCCAGCAGCCGCGGUAAUACGUAGGUCCCGAGCGUUGUCCGGAUUUAUUGGGCGUAAAGCGAGCGCAGGCGGUUUAAUAAGUCUGAAGUUAAAGGCAGUGGCUUAACCAUUGUUCGCUUUGGAAACUGUUAGACUUGAGUGCAGAAGGGGAGAGUGGAAUUCCAUGUGUAGCGGUGAAAUGCGUAGAUAUAUGGAGGAACACCGGUGGCGAAAGCGGCUCUCUGGUCUGUAACUGACGCUGAGGCUCGAAAGCGUGGGGAGCAAACAG